UUAAGCCAUGCAUGUCUAAGUAUAAACGAUUUAAUCGUGAAACCGCGAAUGGCUCAUUAUAACAGCUAUAAUUUACUUGAUCUUGACACAAUCCUACUUGGAUAACUGUGGUAAUUCUAGAGCUAAUACAUGCAUUAAAGCUCUGACCUCACGGGAAGAGUGCAUUUAUUAGAACAAAACCAAGCGGCUUCGGCUGUUUCUGGUUGACUCAUAGUAACUGAGCUGAUCGCAUGGUCUUGCACCGGCGACGUGUCUUUCAAGUAUCUGCCGUAUCAACUUUCGAUGGUAGUGUAUCUGACUACCAUGGUGAUCACGCGUAACGGAGAAUAAGGGUUCGGCUCCGGAGAGUUCGCCUGAGAAAUCGCGAACACAUCUAAGGAAGGCAGCAGGCGCGAAAAUUACCCACUCUCAGCACGAGGAGGUAGUGACGAAAAAUAACGAGACCGUUCUCUUAUGAGGCCGGUCAUCGGAAUGGGUACAAUUUAAACCCUUAACGAGUANCUAG
Molecule: ribosomal RNA, 505 nt
Filed under: Acrobeloides sp. Sourhope farm
Lineage: Eukaryota; Metazoa; Nematoda; Chromadorea; Rhabditida; Cephalobidae
Description: SSU rRNA
Rfam family: Eukaryotic small subunit ribosomal RNA
Source: RNAcentral